AUCCAGUGAGGUCGUAAGGUUCCCAAUCCAUGUGAACACACUGUUUCCAUCAUGUAGAAUGUAACAAUAUGACGAAUUUAAUGAUGAAGCCACCUAGUGAAAAGAUGGUAGAGAUGAAGCAGAUGAUAUGAAGAUACAAUCUUAAUUACAAACAAUUUAUGAUUAUGAACUUACUGCAUCAACUUGAAUUGCUUGCAUGUUUUCUGAUCCUGAGCCUUGAAUCCGGAAUAGCGCGAGUCCAGCUUCAGAGUAACUAUCAUCAUCCAGACCAUUUUCAGCAAUAAACUUCUUGUAUCCAGAGCUAAGACCACCCUGCAUUGAAAAUUCAGAGAGAAAAUAGAUGUUACGUGCAACUCGAAUUAUCUAUCUAACAACUUCAGAGUUCAGACUGUCAGAAGCAAACCUUAAACACUUGGAGACUCUGAAAUAUGACAAAGAACUGAAUUGGUUCUUUUCCUUCAUAGAGGCGAGCCUGCACACAAAUAAGAACAAAUUAGAGAGUGGAAACUAGAUUCACAUAUGAAAAAAAAAAAUGGGUUACCAUGGUAGCCUGGAAUUUUGCAGCCUGAACCAUCUUGCUAGCCAGUGAAAUUGCUGACGCCCUUUCCUCCUGAAAGCAACUAAGAUCAUCCGAAUGCAGAAAUUCACAUUUAACAUAGGCAGAUACACAAGUACUUGUCCAAAAAUCUGUUCUUGUCAAUGGAAAACAGGAAACGACUAGCAUUUUAUGAUUGCUAAUCUUCAGUUACUUUAGCUAACAAAUUCAGAACAGAUAUAAAUAUGCAUAUUAAUUCCAAACUCAUAUCUGGAUUUGGUUUUGCAUAUAGAUAGUACCUCAACACUCUUGUUUCCAAACCAUGUUCCAAUAAGACAUUCCUCUUUGUCCUCUCCAGUAUAUGUGUAUUGAAAAAUGUAGCAAUCUCCAGUGUAAAAUUUUGAUUGUUCAGCUGAUGCCAGAAGAGUCUUCGCAUUUCCAUUUACACGCCAGACCUGAUGCCAAGAUGUAGAAUACAAAACCACCAUCAAACACGGACCAAGAUAAAAUGGAUGGAUGCUGUUAUGCAAAGAAUUUUUUGUUGGAGGGGAGCAUUAAUGAUAAAUGAGUGCAGAUCAAUGGCAUGGCUGAGUUUUAGGGAGUUACAAGAUGACUAAUUUGCAUGUGGACUAUUCAAAGAUACCUAGCAGACUAGCACCUUAAAAUGUGUAGGCACAAGACAGAUUACCAGUAACCAUUACUCGCACAAUACAAAUCCAUAAGAAGUCAUCGAAAAGAAUACCUGUAAAUUACCAGUGCAGUCAAUAUAAGGCUCGGGUUCUUCCUUUACAUCUGCACUUUUCAUCAAGCCCUUGACAUCUAAUCCUUGAUUUUUGAGGAGAGCUGUAUGAAGAAAAUAAAAGAUAAAUAUGAGUGAUCAAGUGAACCUUCUAGCAAUCCACUUAUCAAAACUGAUAAUUUGUAGAGAAUAACCUGCAACUUUGCCUCUUCCAUCCUCAGAUGACAAUUUCAAAUCAGGAGUUGGUGGCCACUCAUUAAAUUUUGACUUGAAUACUACUGUUUCGUAUCCCUCUAUCAUUUUCAUAACAUGUGAUUUUGUUCGGCUAUCAUCAGUGAGCAAUUUCUGUACAAAAGUAAAGCAUACUAAGCACGGAGCAACACAAAAUAUAAAACAUGAGCAUGCUUUGAUUUAGGAUUUCAAAAAUAUUUCCAGCGAAUACUAUAUAAUAUUUCACCGAAGUAGUACCUUUUCUAAAAUCAGUUGAAUAUAAAAUGUAUUGUUUUUCAUUCAGAGACGGAAAUAAGUAAACAUUAAGAAAGAGCAUGUAUUAAUGCAUCCAAGUAGCUCCAGAAUAUGAUCAAACUUCUCUGCAAAACUAUAUUUGACUGAUGGGAAUCAACUCGACGUAUUACAGUAUCAGCUAGCAAGUGAGAGUAACAUUCAAAAAAAUGUGAAGAGCUCUCAAGUAGACAUGCACCCAAAAAGUUCCUAGAACUCAACCCAGGUGGGUGAGGAGGUUAAGCAGCCUCCCCCUAUCACCAGGUCACUGUCAUGUUCCCAGUUAGUGAAAAAAAAUACAUUCUAAUCAUCAGAGCCUUCAGGCUUGUAUAAUAUUUUUGCAUAGAUGUAUUUAAUAAGUAGAAUCAAUCUAGGCAUACGAGUUACCUCGGCAGCUUCACUUGCACCUUUCCUCUGUUUCAAAGAAGUACUUCUGCCCAUCCAAACAUACAUUUCACCACCACAAUCUAACAAGUAGCAUUUGUUUGUCUCAAGCAAAUCAUGCGUCAAGGAUUCAAAACUAAUAGGCUCCGGCUGUCCUUGAUUAAAACUGAGAAGUCAUAAAAAUCGGCUAUUCAGUUCGACAUUUUCAAGAGUUAAUAUAUCUCAUACUCAUGGAUGAGAUGUCGAUAGCAAAUUACUCUUAUUGACUACUGAUGCUCAUGUGCUAUGGGUAUUUAAUGGUAAUCAAUUACCAUAGCAAUUUCGCCACAGCUUCCAUGUCUUCCCCAGUCUGCUCUGAAGGUAUCUUCCUCGGAAGAGGAGCAAAGCCACCAAACAAAGCCCAAAAUUCACCAGCCUCGGCGUCAGCCAUCAACUUUCCAUCCUCUACAGUGGACUCCCACUUGUCAGAUCUUGUAAACGUGAUUUGAAAUACUCAAGGCAUAUUAUCAGAGUUACUUACCAACAGCUGCGACUUCACACUUCCCCUCAUGGAAAGUAUCUUUGAUAUACUGCACAACUUCAAGAGCUUUUGCUCUCUCUUGAAUACAUGAGUUGGAGCCAUUGAAUUGGAAAAUUUUGGACUUGGUAUCCAAAAUAAAUAUGUCGUCGUGGUUGAGGGAAGAACGAGCAAAAGGAACCUGGUUCAUGAAGUAGCAAGCACAAUCAAGAAAUGAACUAACCAUAAGCAUAAAAGGACAGUGAUUUAGAUAGCUUACCUCCUUAACAUGAACAGCAUGCUUUCCUCUGCACACAUAUAACCGGGUAACGUGGUCCUGCUCAUUGACUUCUACGUGAUUGAACCCAGAAGCUACCCCUCCUGGUUGUGGCAUGAUGCAUGGUCUAAAAUAUGAGAGUAACUUUUCAGUUUCAUUGCCUUGCAAUUCCCGGUACUGAACAGCACGCCCUCCAAGGGCAGCAUCAAGCUCCACAGUUAAAAUCGCAGCAGUUCCAGCUUCAUCCUUCAUGGACAAAUAUUAAGCAAGUUGGUGAACUGUUACGUGACACAAGGCCUGGGUAGCCGCUCAGAAUAGCUAACUCGUGUGGUGCAUUGCCAAAUAAUUUGAGAAUAUACCUGACUAGUAUCUUUACCAAGCCAAUAAUGGAUGUCAUGGCGGAAGGAACCCUUCUUCAAGGCUGAUGUCUGUAGGGAGAGAAAAGAACAUGAGAGCUGAGUUCGAGGCAUAUACAAACUGAACAUCAGAUGAAAUAAGUGUAUUGUGAACUUUUGCAACUAUACACCGAAAAAAUGUAUGCAUAACAAGGCAUAGAUACGUCCGUACCUUUAGUAUGAUAUAUGAAUCACCCAUGUAAAAUUUUCCAUAUGAAGAUGCCGGUGCAGGAACUGGCUUGAAAUUUUCAAUACGCCAUACCUCCAAACCGCUGAAUCGUGAUUAAGGAGUACUAUGUAUGUAUAUGACACUCCUAUGAACACUACUUAUAAGGGGAUAAAUGAAACAAAGGAAAUUUGAAAGGAAAAAAUCAGCAUUCUUUAUCACAUUUAUUUACUACAGUUUGCUUGAUGUUUGCAAGAUUCAUCAUCCAUAAUGUUUUUUUACUCAGCGUCCAAUGCAGUGUAUCGCCAUUUUUUGCUUCUUCUGUAUAAUACAGAAAAGCUUGUGCAUGUUCAUAUUGAUAAGAACACAACGACAUGACCACUAUGCAAAAAUCAUUUUCCCUACUAAACAAUGAGCGCUGGUACAUGAUAGGCCUUGUAAUUCAUGUUGAUAAAUGGUAAUAACUGAAUUAUGGUGCUAGCAUGUUGUAGGCUUGUAUCAUUUUAACAAUGAAAGAACUAUGACUUAUGGCAAACCCUUAAGAUAUUUAAAUAAGCAUUACUUGCUGUGCACAUAUUUCAUAUUCGAAAUAGAAAUGCCUAAGAAGUGACCCGUUAUGAUAUUAAUUAAUCCAGCACUUAAAGCAGGUUCAGGUUACUGAAGAAUGGUCAUAAAUUCAUAAGAGGUGCUUAACAACUUCACUGUUACCAACAGUUUUAUCCCAUGAUAACAAAAUACCUAAACCAUUUUGUCUUGUUCCCCGACCGGGAGAACAGUCCUGGUCUCUCGUACAUACAACUUUAAACUUUAAAUAUCCAAGCCACGAAAGUUCGCAGAAAUGGCGACGAUUGAAGCCAUGAUGAUAAAAAGGAUACUCCUUCUGUCCAGCCCCGCGGAAAGCCGGAUCCAAAUCCUUCAUAGAAACGGACAUGAUGGACGGACGUUGCCGAAGAACCCUCGGAUCAAAGUGGCGCUGGCGCUACGCUGCAAACAGGUAACAGGAAAUUUAUCAUCCGUACUGCUAACGCAGCCGAUCACUCGCCACGAGAAUCCACGGCGAUACAAGCGUCCCCCCCGAAUUCAGCAAUCCACCCAAUCCCGGCACCCCCGGCAUAAGAAGGCGUAAUCCCCCAGUUCGCCACAACGAUCGGCGGAAAGAACCCGUGCGUGUAGCCGGGGCGAAAUCCGCAGAGGGCGCGCAUUGAUUCGGAGAGGGAGGGAGGGAANCUGUAUCACAAUUCACAAAUCACUCCGCUUGUCCUUUCCCGAAAACGCUCCCUCGUUUUAAAAUACUAUACAGUAUAAUAUGGUGUGUGCUGAUGAUUUUCAAAAGUUCACGUUUUAAUGUUCCAAUCAAGUUUAUAUUAAAAAAAUGUCAGCAUUUAAAUACCAAAUCAAUAAAGCAUAAAUAUACAUUUCAUGGCGAGGUUGAUGAUACUGAGUUGAUAUCGUAAAUAAAGCAUAAAUAUAUUUUUUUUAAGUCACACCUUACAAACUUUAAUCAAGUUUGUGAAGAAAUACAUUUACAUCUACUCCCUCUCUUCCCUUUUUAGAGAUUUUAUUAGAAGACUACAUAUAGAGCAAAAUAAGUGAAUUUAUACUUUAAAAUAUGUAUAUAUACAUUCGUAUGUAGUCUCGUAGUGAAACAUCUAAAAAGACCUAUACUCCCUCCAUCCAAAAAUAUUUGUCAUAGAAAUUGAUCUAUCUAGGUGUAUUUUAGUUUUUGAUACAUCCAUUUGUAUCCAUUUGUGCGACAAGUAUUUUCAGACGGAGGGGGAUUAUAAUGCUAUACAUAUAUCAUUAGAUGUGAUUUCAUAUUUUACAUACAAAUAGAUUUAUCUAUGAACUUGGUCAAAGUUUACAAAGAUUAAAUUUUAAAAAAAAUUUAUACACACUAUAUUAUGAAAUGGAGAGAGUAAUAUAAAAACUUACUACUCUCUUCGAUUUAUUUAUUUAUUUUCUUAAAUUUGUCUACGUACAAGUGUAUCUAACACUAAAACAUGCCCCAUAUUAUUUGUCUUAGAAUUGUCUAGACAUAAAUGUAUCUAACAGUAAAACGUGUCUAGAUAUAUUUGUAUUUAGAUAAAUCUAAGACAAAUAAUAUGUAUCGGACGGAGUAAGACAAAAUUUGAUGCAUAUUUGAAAUAUUUUACGUAGAUAUUUAGACAACUGAACCAAAUUUUUGACUAGACUUACUAAGCCACUCGCUAUUCGUCUCAUUCUCUAGCCUCCCCAAUCCGAUUUGUCAGUCCUUCAAUCAUAGGAUCCUGCCACACACCGUUGCCAUCGUCGUGGUCCUCAACGUCGCUUGAGAGAUCGAUGACAUGCGUUGCAUCGGUCGUGUACUGCUCGUACAGCCGAUGAUAGCUCCUCCUCGAUGUACUCCAGGUAGCGGCAUUGGAGCUCCGCCAUGUAGUCCUCGUCGACGCGGGGCCCCUUUAAAAGCGCGCAUGCUUUCUUGGUGGUUUUGAUAAUUUAUGACAACAUACAUUGUCUCCUGGACUAAUACUUUUACCUAAUAUAUUUUAGAUAUAGUCCACAAAAGGAUUGACUAAGGAUUGCGAGGAGAAGCCCCAAGGAAGGAAAGGAAUAUGAUUGACCAAGCUUCAAGAUUGAAGACUCUGCAUUUUAUAUUUUGUGAGAAAUCAUAUUUGAGUCCAUAGAAAAACCAAUACUAUUAAAAAAGGGAUGAGGUGACCAUGAUGAUAUGGUUGCUCAAGUGCUGGUUGUGCCCCCCAGAUUCCCGGUACUUGGCCGGGGCCCUAACUCUAGCCAGAUGUUCGGGGCCUUGGCCAGAUGUCCGGACCGUGUAUAUUGACACUGUUUUCUCUUUGUUUGUGUGCACACUUCACAAAUGCCGGAUGUCCGACCCUUGGCCCAGAUGUCCAGCCUGACCCAACCAAUGACAUAUUUCUUAGAAUAUGUCAAAAAAUUUCUUUUAAAUUUUGUAUAUUUUAUUAAUUUUACUGCUCAUACCAUAAACAUUUGAGCUCGGGUGUAGAAAAGUACUUUCGACGAUGAAGCUCUUUUUUGUAGUUCGAGACUCCACCAACAAUUAAAUACUUUGGCCAUGGCAGAGGAUCGGACAUGUUGGGAACAUGGUUGAUUAGUCCUUCACCACUCAUUCUUUAGUUUUUGUUAUCCGAGGUUUGCUGGUACACAAAUGGAAAUGAGUGCUACUCCUCUUCAAUCUUCUAUACUGGAUUUAGCCUUGCGCUUACCCAAUGUUUUCCCAUUUGUAUCUUCAACGAUUUCACAUGAAACUACAAGUCCCGACUUUCACAUACCUCAUUAGUGCCAUCAUCCUCGGAGGUACUCCCUUUAUAACUUAAUAUAAGACGUUUUAUGAUACUUUCCUAAACUCUAAACAUGACUUAUAGAAAGUUACAAAGGGAGUAUUUGAUGUCUCUUCAAAAAUGGAGGUUGCUGCCCCACCAACGUGAAUAUUUUCAAACAUGACAUCUAUCUCCUUCAAGUUAGCUAGCCUCGUGUUCCUCCACUAUGUCACACUAAAAACUUUAAAGAGUUGAUUUUAAUUUUGUUUUAAACUAUGUCGUAACAUGGUCUUCCACGGAUGCCAUCACCUCGAUUGUUCCCAAUUGAUCAUUCCAACCAAGCCCAGCUGCAACAUUUGAACAUCAUGGUCAGGGGCUAAAUUCCAGUUGCAACAUUUCAACACCGUUUUCAAGGCCUAACUAAGGAUUGUUAACCUCAACAUAAAUCAAUGGGAAGUGAGAACUGAGUGUGAAGCUGAUGGGUCGACAUGGUUUGCAACAAUAAUCAUCAAAGGAAAGCGAAGACAUUUCUCACCAUGCAUCUACUCCCUCCGUUUCCUUUUACUCUGCAUAUAAAUUUAUCCGAAAUCCACCUUUGUAGGUUGACCAACUUUAUAGAAAAAAAUAUAAACAUUCACAAUACAAAAUCAGUAUUUUUAGAUGCAUCAUGAAAUUAAAUUUCAUACUGUAUAGCUUCAGUAUUGUAGAUGUUGAUAUUUUUAAAUAUAAAUUUGGUCAACCUUUAUGUGGUUUGACUUUAAACAAAUCUUAUAUGUGGAGUAAAAAGAAACGAAGGAAGUAUAUUUAGAACAAAAGAAGUGGGUGUGUUGUUCAUGGAACCUCAAUCUGGUCACCAAUCAUCUAGCGAGCAUAUAAAUGUGAUUAAACUAUACUGCUCUUGUUCUCCUAGUUUUGGGAUGAAAUUAAACUCUUAAAAUUUUAUCUUAAUUAAUAAAUAAAGUAAAAAAUUACCAUUUUUGCAACAAUAGAGUCAUUUCUACGUUUUGACGGUACUUUGAUCCCAGAUUGUAAACAUGUUUUCAUUUCUUUUCNGUUUCAGCCUGAAAUUAGUGGGCUUGGGAUGUGGGCGCUGUGGGCAGUCCACGUCCACUUGGAGUCUGAGUUUCAGGCGUGCAUGGGCACUGAACCAUGCACCGGGUUGCUAUAGCAUGGGGGCAAUGCAGAGGAAAACCUGAACUGAAAUUGUGUUGUGGGUAUGGUUUCCCUCCCUCCCAGUCCUUGAUGAGUUUGUACAUGUGCUAUGGACUUUUGGCGCACGCGGGACCGGCAUAUACGCCCAGCACAAGAGAUGAGCUUCUAUAGUUCUACACUAGCAAAAGUAUAUGGCAAAUAUGCAUAUUUUUACGUAUGCAUAAAGUACAGUGGUACAAGAAGAACAAAAGAGGCUUCCUUCAAAAACGACAAGAACAUAGCAACAACGUGUGUGUUCUUUUGGACUCCCUCCGUUCCUAAAUAUAAGUCUUUUGAGCGAUUUCAAUAGGUGUCUACAUACGGAGCAAAAUGAUUAAAUGUACACUCUAAAGUAUGUCUAUAUACAUUCGUAUGUAGUCCACUAGUGAAAUCUCUUUAAAGACUUAUAUUUAGGAUCGGAGGGAGUACAUAUGUUGAGAAUGUCACAUAGACAAAAGACUGAUGUGACAAAGCAAUUAAAAGAAGAAAGAUCAUUUUAAUGACCUAAGAAGAAACAAUGUUAAUCACAUGGACCUAUGUAAAACAGCUACACAUAGUACAAGAGUUUAGUUGCCAAACUGUUUAACGAAGGAAGCUUAGCUAUAAAAAUCUAACCAUUUAUGAAAUUUAAAUCUACUUCCUCCGUCUUAUAACAUGUAACUCCUCCGUUUUAUACAAGAUGAACGUCUUAUAAUGGUCCCUUUUAUACACUUUAGCAUCUCAUUUGAACAUGUAACUCCUCCCUUUGCGAAUGAGUGUACUUCUAACUUUUGUUUUAAGAUAAGAAUUUAAAAUUCUGACCAACUCCAUAGAAAAGCGUGACAUAUAUGACAUCAAAUUGAUAUAUUAUGCACCCGUUGAGGAGAUUCGUAGAAUGACCGACCUUGCUGCUAGGGAGAUUACUUUUAUCCAUUAUAGUCGUUCUAGAACAUCGUUAGUCACGAGUUGGCCGCCUAUGACCGCAAUAUCCCACGCGCAACAGUCCGGAUUACGGUUAAGAUGGACUUUGUUGUAAACCUGGCUGAGGUUGAGAAGCCUCAGUAAUGAAAAUUUCAUUUCCACCUGUAAUUAUUUUUUCAAAAUAUUAUGAAAGUAAAUUUCAAAACGGAUAUAGGGAUACUAAUUUCGUGUCAUAAAUGCUGCUACUUUUUUUUCAUAAAGUUGGUCAAAAUUUUAAAAUUUUGACCUAGAACAAAAGUUAGAAAUACAUUUUUUUAAAAAUAAAGUUAGAAAUACACCUAUUCGUGAAGGGAGAGAGUAUGCACUAGACCAGGGCUCGUGAUUUACAAGUCUUUGGACCCGUUCGCCUGCCUGGCCCACGCGCAGAGGAACGAGAUAGUGGACCGGACCAUACGCCAGCCUGGCCCACCAUCGAAUGAACCGCUCCGAGCACUAGCCACAGCCGGAACCAAUUCGAGCAAGCUUUUAAACUCGAGGCCAGCGCAGAGCCGCGGACUUGCUAUCCACGCGACAUCGCCCCUGCAAAUUCUCGCCGUCUCGGAUUCUUGGCCACCAAGCUCACACACACGCAGCCCUCUCUGGAUCCGCCCGCCGGCCGGCAACUCCCGCGGCGUCUCUCCUCUCCCUAGACCACCGACCCCUUCCCCGAUGGAUCCAUUCCCCGUCUUCGGACGCGACAGAUCCCCCUCGUCGCCGGACUACCCGCCCCGCCCGGGGNNN
This 9639-nucleotide long non-coding RNA is filed under the name Hordeum vulgare. RNAcentral's name for it is "long non-coding RNA (HVUL_LNC005523)". Lineage: Eukaryota; Viridiplantae; Streptophyta; Magnoliopsida; Poales; Poaceae. The record is from RNAcentral.